CCUACGGGUGGCAGCAGUGAGGAAUAUUGGUCAAUGGGCGAGAGCCUGAACCAGCCAAGUCGCGUGAGGGAGUACUGCCCUAUGGGUUGUAAACCUCUUUUGUCGGGGAGCAAAAGCCGGACGUGUCCGGCUGUGAGAGUACCCGAAGAAAAAGCAGCGGCUAACUCCGUGCCAGCAGCCGCGGUAAUACGGAGGAUGCAAGCGUGGUCCGGAAUCAUUGGGCGUAAAGAGUUCGUAGGUGGCACGUUAAGUCUGGUGUUAAAGGCGGAAGCUCAACUUCCGUAGGGCACUGGAUAAUGGCGAGCUUGAAUGCGGUAGAGGUAAAGGGAAUUCCUGGUGUAGCGGUGAAAUGCGUAGAUAUCAGGAGGAACAUCGGUGGCGUAAGCGCUUUACUGGGCCGUAAUUGACACUGAGGAACGAAAGCCGGGGUAGCAAAUGGGAUUAGAUACCCUAGUAGUC
This 459-nucleotide ribosomal RNA is filed under the name uncultured bacterium. RNAcentral describes it as "partial 16S ribosomal RNA". It matches the Rfam family "Bacterial small subunit ribosomal RNA", at positions 338 to 795 of the family's 1533-position model. The record is from RNAcentral.